RNAcentral lists this ribosomal RNA (330 nucleotides) under uncultured bacterium. RNAcentral's name for it is "bacterial SSU rRNA". It matches the Rfam family "Bacterial small subunit ribosomal RNA", at positions 568 to 898 of the family's 1533-position model. The record is from RNAcentral.
UCCGUAGGCGGUGCGGCAAGUCGGAAGUGAAAUCUCAGGGCUUAACCCUGAGGCUGCUUCCGAAACUGCCGUGCUCGAGUGCGAGAGAGGCGAGUGGAAUUGCAGGUGUAGCGGUGAAAUGCGUAGAUAUCUGCAGGAACAUCCGAGGCGAAAGCGGCUCGCUGGAUCGCAACUGACGCUGAGGGACGAAAGCUAGGGGAGCAAACAGGAUUAGAUACCCUGGUAGUCCUAGCCCUAAACGAUCAGGACUGGGCGUGGGCCUCGUACGGGGCUCGUGCCGCAGCUAACGCGUUAAGUCCUGCGCCUGGGAAGUACGGUCGCAAGGCUGAA